This 1178-nucleotide unclassified non-coding RNA is filed under the name Leishmania donovani. RNAcentral's name for it is "gene:LdHU3.36.5890(CDS-product:DNA-directed_RNA_p olymerase_I_subunit_putative)". The record is from RNAcentral. Lineage: Eukaryota; Euglenozoa; Kinetoplastea; Trypanosomatida; Trypanosomatidae.
AAGCACGUCUCUUGAACAAAGCAGCUGCUGUCAUCACACGCGCCACAAAUACAAUGUCAGCGUCUUCCGAGGCAGCGAAGCUGCAAACACCGCCACAGCAGCGGCAGGUGCACUACAUAUCUGAUAACGUGUACUCACUCGGAACUCUUAGUUGCGCCGUCUGUGGCCAGACCUUCCCGAUUCACACGAACGCGUGCCAGCGCAGCACCUGCGGCUGGUGCGGAACUCUGCACGAGCCCGGCACGCACUCGGCGCUUCAGAAGCAUCAUCGCGCCAUGCGCAGGACAAGCGAUGGUGUUAAAACGAGCAGCAAGAUGUGCUCCCUGGACACCAGCGCUGCUCUCUUCUUCACCGAGAAGGAAGUGACCGCCGCAGUGGAAUACAUUCGCCAGACGCUGGGUGGCACGUCGCCCUUUGGGGCAGCUCCCGGCGCCGUUGGUGGAGCCAAGAGUGCCGGCAUUACCGAGGUGGAUAAUCGCAUUAUUGAGGAAGCCUUCUGCGAGACGUGCGGUGUCCACCGCCCCUGCAAGACCUUUGCCCGGCAAACGCGUAGCGCGGAUGAGGGUCAGACAAUUUUCUUUCAGUGCACCAAGUGCAGCUCGGAGUGGCAGCAGAACUCUUGAGAGGUCGGCCGUGACGCCCCACGGCCUCAUCCCAGUUUCUCAAGUCGUCACGACAACAACGCUUAGGGGACGGAAAAGAGUUCGCGUUUGUCCUCGUGCGUUCCUCCUCCCUUUAUUCUUCUCCGCUUUCGGCAUCGGUGCUGGUGCAUGUUUGCAUGUGUAUGCGUGUGUGUGUGUGUGUCUUUUCUGUGCGAUCAACGUCUCCUCCGUAACUGUGGCUAACAGGAUUCUCAACCUCCCAAUAUGUCGCCGUCAGAGUGAUCAUGCCCCAUCACAUCACCUCUUGUCGUCUCUGAGCAAGACUAGAAAGCGAACCUCUUUUAUUGAGGGCGGUGUCUAUUGGGGGACGUCUACGAGAUCACUUCGCCCCGUCUGCCUCCCUCUCUUGCCGUUGUGAGUCUGCAUAUGUACAACGCGGCACUCGUUCCUCUCUGCUUAUACUUGUCCAUGCACUUCUUUCUUGACCUUGCGUCUGUGGUACUUUGUAUGUGUGUGUGGGGGGGGGGGCAACUCCUCUCUCGGAUGUGUCGCUCACCUGCUCGAAUGCACACGCAG